AUCUUAUCAAGAGCAGGUGGAGGGACAAGCCCAAUGAAGCCCGGCAACCGACCCCCGUAUAUGGGGGCACGGUGCUAAUUCUUGCAGCGAAAGCUGGCAGAUAAGAG
This 107-nucleotide non-coding RNA is filed under the name Pseudobacillus badius. RNAcentral describes it as "Bacillus badius SAM-I sequence". It matches the Rfam family "SAM riboswitch aptamer (S box leader)". From Rfam's summary of the family: The SAM riboswitch is found upstream of a number of genes which code for proteins involved in methionine or cysteine biosynthesis in Gram-positive bacteria. The SAM riboswitch acts at the level of transcription termination control. Lineage: Bacteria; Bacillati; Bacillota; Bacilli; Caryophanales; Bacillaceae. The record is from RNAcentral.